RNAcentral lists this ribosomal RNA (460 nucleotides) under uncultured bacterium. Its description in RNAcentral is "partial 16S ribosomal RNA". It matches the Rfam family "Bacterial small subunit ribosomal RNA", at positions 338 to 795 of the family's 1533-position model. The record is from RNAcentral.
CCUACGGGAGGCAGCAGUGAGGAAUAUUGGUCAAUGGACGAGAGUCUGAACCAGCCAAGUAGCGUGAAGGAUGACUGCCCUAUGGGUUUUAAACUUCUUUUAUAUGGGAAUAAAAUGUUCCACGUGUGGGAUUUUGUAUGUACCAUAUGUAUAAGGAUGGGCUAACUCCGUGCCAGCAGCCGCGGUAAUACGGAGGAUCCGCGCGGUAUCCGGAUUUAUUGGGUGUAAAGGGAGCGUAGGUGGAUAGUUAAGUCAGUUGGGAAAGUUUGCGGCUCAACCGUAAAAUUGCAGUUGAAACUGGCAGUCUUGAGUACAGUAGAGGUAGGCGGAAUUCGUGGUGUAGCGGUGAAAUGCUUAGAUAUCACGAAGAACUCCGAUUGCGAAGGCAGCUCACUGGACUGCAACUGACACUGAGGCUCGAAAGUGUGGGUAUCAAACAGGAUUAGAUACCCGGGUAGUC